GCCUGGUUUUCUAAAAUGGCAUGGGCUUCCAUUUCAAAGUAACUCGCCUCACCCCCUUGCAGCUGGGAGAUGAGUAAGACAGUAAAUUGGUCCUAGAAAAUGAGGAGAUCAAGAGCGAUGCUAAAGCCACUGCUACCAGCUAUCACAAAGAGGAGAAAGGCUUCAACAUCAACCAGGACAAAGCAGAAAAUCUUUCCUCUCUAGACUUCAUUUAAGUUCAGGCAACAUGUUGCUUCAAAGAAAGUCCCACCUGAUCAGGGGACACCAACUGCGCAGCUGUUUCCACUAAAGACUGGCACCUCUAGGCCAGGUUUAAACUUCGUAACAAUAAAACAUGAAAGGUCU
Cervus elaphus (red deer) is the source of this 345-nucleotide long non-coding RNA. RefSeq lists it as uncharacterized. The record is from RefSeq and is a predicted model, not a curated record. The transcript is spliced from 3 exons. Lineage: Eukaryota; Metazoa; Chordata; Mammalia; Artiodactyla; Cervidae.